UGGGGAAUAUUGGACAAUGGGCGCAAGCCUGAUCCAGCCAUGCCGCGUGAGUGAUGAAGGCCUUAGGGUUGUAAAGCUCUUUCACCCGGGACGAUAAUGACGGUACCGGGAGAAGAAGCCCCGGCUAACUUCGUGCCAGCAGCCGCGGUAAUACGAAGGGGGCUAGCGUUGUUCGGAAUCACUGGGCGUAAAGCGCACGUAGGCGGACCGUUAAGUCGGAGGUGAAAUCCUGGGGCUCAACCCCAGAACUGCCUUCGAUACUGGCGGUCUCGAGUCCGGAAGAGGUGAGUGGAACUGCCAGUGUAGAGGUGAAAUUCGUAGAUAUUGGCAAGAACACCAGUGGCGAAGGCGGCUCACUGGUCCGGUACUGACGCUGAGGUGCGAAAGCGUGGGGAGCAAACA
Molecule: ribosomal RNA, 402 nt
Filed under: uncultured prokaryote
Description: bacterial SSU rRNA
Rfam family: Bacterial small subunit ribosomal RNA
Source: RNAcentral